UGCACUAACUGUAAUUCGCUCUGGAUAAGAGUGUCUGCUAAAUGACUAAAA
Molecule: non-coding RNA, 51 nt
Organism: Salmo salar (Atlantic salmon)
Lineage: Eukaryota; Metazoa; Chordata; Actinopteri; Salmoniformes; Salmonidae
Source: Rfam